GCCCUCGUAGCUCAAUGGAUAGAGCAACCGCCUCCUAAGCGGUAGAUUCAGGUUCGAGUCCUGGCGGGGGUA
Molecule: transfer RNA, 72 nt
Filed under: Chloroflexota bacterium
Lineage: Bacteria; Bacillati; Chloroflexota
Also listed under: 3 other names
Description: tRNA-Arg
Rfam family: tRNA
About the family: Transfer RNA (tRNA) molecules are approximately 80 nucleotides in length.
Source: RNAcentral